This 119-nucleotide ribosomal RNA is filed under the name Pteropus alecto (black flying fox). Lineage: Eukaryota; Metazoa; Chordata; Mammalia; Chiroptera; Pteropodidae. The record is from RNAcentral.
GUCUACAGCCAUGCCACCCUGAACGUGCCCGAUCUCGUCCGAUCUUGGAAGCUAAGCAGGGUCGGGCCUGGUUAGUACUUAGAUGAGAGACCACCUAGGAAGACCAGGUGCUGUAGGUA